Molecule: long non-coding RNA, 459 nt
Filed under: Cricetulus griseus (Chinese hamster)
Lineage: Eukaryota; Metazoa; Chordata; Mammalia; Rodentia; Cricetidae
Description: lncRNA (ENSCGRG00015033729.1)
Source: RNAcentral
GAGCCUCCAGGAGGUGGAAACUGGACAAAGUCCUCAGGUCACUGAAGGGUCUGCUUAGGAAAAGAUUAAUGCUGUUCUGAAGAGAUCCCUGGAGUUUUAUGAGUGUAAGUAAUUAUAAGAGUAAUGCUCACCAUUGAUUCUCUCUCAUGUUCCUGUUUGGUGAUUUGGUCUUUCCAUCAAUUGUGGCACCAUCUACCAUCAGGUUGUCAUCAGAGAAGAGCUGAUGCUGGCAACAUGCCAUGGAAUCUGCUGAAUUCAUUCUCUCCUCUUUUUCCUUCUUUCUCCACCACUCCUUCCUGAUCACACUCUUAUUUAUCUAUUUAGUUAUGUGUUUCUUUAAAGUUUUUUGUUUGAGAACGUAUUACUGCAUGUAAUGUGCUUUUAUCAACGCUGUCCCCUUUCCUUCACUUACAAUUUCUUCCCUGUACCCCUAUCACUCAUCCUUCCAACUUCAUGUGC